This 1378-nucleotide ribosomal RNA is filed under the name uncultured bacterium. RNAcentral's name for it is "bacterial SSU rRNA". It matches the Rfam family "Bacterial small subunit ribosomal RNA", at positions 27 to 1396 of the family's 1533-position model. The record is from RNAcentral.
GAUUGAACGCUGGCGGUAUGCUUAACACAUGCAAGUCGAACGGAAACGAUACUAGCUUGCUAGUAGGCGUCGAGUGGCGGACGGGUGAGUAACGCGUAGGAAUCUGCCUGAUAGUGGGGGAUAGCCCGAAGAAAUUCGGAUUAAUACCGCAUAAUCUAUUCGUAGUAAAGUGGGGGACUUUCGAGCCUCACGCUAUCAGAUGAGCCUGCGUAAGAUUAGCUUGUUGGUAGGGUAAAAGCCUACCAAGGCGACGAUCUUUAGCUGGUCUGAGAGGAUGAUCAGCCACAUCGGGACUGAGACACGGCCCGAACUCCUACGGGAGGCAGCAGUGGGGAAUAUUGGACAAUGGGGGCAACCCUGAUCCAGCAAUACCGCGUGUGUGAAGAAGGCCUGAGGGUUGUAAAGCACUUUCAAUUGUGAAGAAAAGUUAGCGGUUAAUAACCGUUAGCCUUGACGUUAACUUUAGAAGAAGCACCGGCUAACUCCGUGCCAGCAGCCGCGGUAAUACGGAGGGUGCAAGCGUUAAUCGGAAUUACUGGGCGUAAAGCGUGCGUAGGCGGUUUAUUAAGUCAGAUGUGAAAGCCCCGGGCUUAACCUGGGAACUGCAUUUGAAACUGGUCAACUAGAGUAUGGUAGAGGAAAGUGGAAUUUCUGGUGUAGCGGUGAAAUGCGUAGAUAUCAGAAGGAACAUCAAUGGCGAAGGCAGCUUUCUGGACCAAUACUGACGCUGAGGUACGAAAGCGUGGGUAGCAAACAGGAUUAGAUACCCUGGUAGUCCACGCCGUAAACGAUGAUAACUAGCCGUUGGGGGGAUUUACCCUUUAGUGGCGAAGCUAACGCGUUAAGUUAUCCGCCUGGGGAGUACGGCCGCAAGGUUAAAACUCAAAGGAAUUGACGGGGACCCGCACAAGCGGUGGAGCAUGUGGUUUAAUUCGAUGCAACGCGAAGAACCUUACCUGGUCUUGACAUCCUGCGAACUUUCUAGAAAUAGAUUGGUGCCUUCGGGAACGCAGUGACAGGUGCUGCAUGGCUGUCGUCAGCUCGUGUCGUGAGAUGUUGGGUUAAGUCCCGUAACGAGCGCAACCCCUAUCCUUAUUUGCCAGCACAUCAUGGUGGGAACUAUAAGGAGACUGCCGGUGAUAAACCGGAGGAAGGCGGGGACGACGUCAAGUCAUCAUGGCCCUUACGACCAGGGCUACACACGUGCUACAAUGGGAAGGACAAAGAGCCGCGAAGCCGCGAGGUGUAGCUAAUCUCAUAAACCUUUUCGUAGUCCGGAUUGGAGUCUGCAACUCGACUCCAUGAAGUCGGAAUCGCUAGUAAUCGUAGAUCAGAAUGCUACGGUGAAUACGUUCCCGGGUCUUGUACACACCGCCCG